GAUGGCUGCAAUAAGCAGCAGACCAAACUGGAUGGAAGAAACUAGUUGGAGUUAGCUGUGCAAUGGGCCCCGGAGGCCCACAUAUCAAAAUGCCCUGAUAUGGCUUUCUGGCCACCCAUUUUCAAACAUUUCUAUUUUUUAUGGCAUGUACUUGGAAGAGACCUGGAAGGGCUGAACACUUUGAGGGACCCUGCUUCAAAGUAUAACCUUACUACAGUUGUAAACAUCUUUUGAAGCAAAUCCCACUAAACAGACAACAUGUAUCUGGAGAGAAUAUUCUUGGAAAAUUGGAAUUAGACCACUUGUGCCAUGGCAGCAGUGAGCAGAACCUGUAGAAGCUAAGCAGGUUGGGGUCCAUGACAGCACCAGCAAUGAAAUGGUCGUUCUGUUAGGGAGAAGCUGCCUGCUGGUCUCAGCUGGAAACUGAUGCUGUUUCACUAUCAAUGUCAAGAAUAGGACAGUGUCCUAGCAGCAAGUAAUGGUCAAAUGAUAUUGGAAGAGGAAGAAAAGAGACUCAGACCUGUAAGAUUCACAGCCUCCAUUCCUAAGAGAAAGGAAAGAAAGCAGCAGAGGUUGGUGAUUUUCUCCUAAAGGCCUCAUCUGUCUGCUGCAGCUGACAUCCUAGAGUAUGCUGCUUCCAGAGAACUCAGCUUUUACAAAUUACUAUAAAGUGGAUGCUUUUCAUCUCUCACAGUGAUCGCGA
This is a long non-coding RNA of Aquila chrysaetos chrysaetos, 703 nucleotides long. RefSeq lists it as uncharacterized. Lineage: Eukaryota; Metazoa; Chordata; Aves; Accipitriformes; Accipitridae. The record is from RefSeq and is a predicted model, not a curated record. The transcript has 2 exons.